GAACGAUGAAGCCGGAGAUCUGAUGA
This 26-nucleotide non-coding RNA is filed under the name Bombyx mori (domestic silkworm). The record is from RNAcentral. Lineage: Eukaryota; Metazoa; Arthropoda; Insecta; Lepidoptera; Bombycidae.